CACAUGCAAGUCGAGCGGAAACGAAGAGGUGCUUGCUCCUCUGGAGUCGAGCGGCGGACGGGUGAGUAAUGCUUGGGAAUAUGCCUUAUGGUGGGGGACAACAGUUGGAAACGACUGCUAAUACCGCAUGAUGUCUACGGACCAAAGUGGGGGACCUUCGGGCCUCACGCCAUAAGAUUAGCCCAAGUGGGAUUAGCUAGUUGGUGAGGUAAUGGCUCACCAAGGCGACGAUCCCUAGCUGGUUUGAGAGGAUGAUCAGCCACACUGGGACUGAGACACGGCCCAGACUCCUACGGGAGGCAGCAGUGGGGAAUAUUGCACAAUGGGCGCAAGCCUGAUGCAGCCAUGCCGCGUGUGUGAAGAAGGCCUUCGGGUUGUAAAGCACUUUCAGUAAGGAGGAAAGGUUAAGUGUUAAUAGCGCUUAGCUGUGACGUUACUUACAGAAGAAGCACCGGCUAACUCCGUGCCAGCAGCCGCGGUAAUACGGAGGGUGCGAGCGUUAAUCGGAAUUACUGGGCGUAAAGCGUACGCAGGCGGUUUGUUAAGCGAGAUGUGAAAGCCCCGGGCUCAACCUGGGAACUGCAUUUCGAACUGGCAAACUAGAGUGUGAUAGA
RNAcentral lists this ribosomal RNA (614 nucleotides) under Pseudoalteromonas sp. FOH-48. RNAcentral's name for it is "bacterial SSU rRNA". It matches the Rfam family "Bacterial small subunit ribosomal RNA", at positions 52 to 655 of the family's 1533-position model. The record is from RNAcentral. Lineage: Bacteria; Pseudomonadati; Pseudomonadota; Gammaproteobacteria; Alteromonadales; Pseudoalteromonadaceae.